Gavialis gangeticus (Gharial) is the source of this 115-nucleotide long non-coding RNA. RefSeq lists it as uncharacterized. NCBI's taxonomy places the organism in Eukaryota, Metazoa, Chordata, Crocodylia, Gavialidae. The transcript is spliced from 3 exons. The record is from RefSeq and is a predicted model, not a curated record.
AUAAGCAUGCUGCGGGUUUUUCUUCCCAAGAUGGAGUACCUCGCAUUUUUUGGUGCUGAAGGCCAUCGGGUUUUCGUCCACCCAUUUUCCGAGCCUACCAUAUAAAUUGGUUUAA